GAUCAUGGCUCAGGAUGAACGCUAGCGGCAGGCCUAACACAUGCAAGUCGAGGGGCAGCACGUUAAAGAGUUUACUCUUUAUGGUGGCGACCGGCGGACGGGUGCGUAACGCGUAUGCAACCUGCCUGACACAGGGGGGAUAAUCCGAAGAAAUUUGGUCUAAUACCCCAUAAUACCGAUAUAGGCAUCUACGUUGGUUGAAAGCUUUGGUGGUGUCAGAUGGGCAUGCGUUGUAUUAG
This 239-nucleotide ribosomal RNA is filed under the name uncultured bacterium. RNAcentral describes it as "partial 16S ribosomal RNA". It matches the Rfam family "Bacterial small subunit ribosomal RNA", at positions 15 to 244 of the family's 1533-position model. The record is from RNAcentral.